RNAcentral lists this unclassified non-coding RNA (626 nucleotides) under Hevea brasiliensis (rubber tree). The record is from RNAcentral. Lineage: Eukaryota; Viridiplantae; Streptophyta; Magnoliopsida; Malpighiales; Euphorbiaceae.
UCAACAUUGUAAUUUCUUCACACAAACUAUGCGCAUGCGUUUUCCUCCUCAUCGGAGACAUAAUCACAUCAUUCAAAUAUUAAAGUCAGUCAGAUCAACUGCGACCACCACACCUUUCAACUCCGAGUCAUAGCCGAUGCACGAGAUCCAGCUGUGCUUAGCGAAUCCUCCUCUCUCUCUUUCUCUCUUCCGAGACCAAGACGCAUAUUACCAGCAAAAUUUCUUUUUCCGCAACUUUGCUUCCUCUUGGCUAUCGAUGUAAGCAAGCAGUUCUUCUUGCCUCAUCAACGCUUCGUGCAAAGCCUUCUUGGUAGCAAUCAGCUCUGCUUCCAAGGCAUCGACACGGCAGACGGCGGCAUUCAACAGUUCCUCUUUUUCGUAUGGCAUUUCAGAUGGUUUUGAUUGGAGCGUAUCGACCUUCUCCUCCAGCUCACCUAGCCUCUUCAUUAGAUUAGAGAGAAGUUCCGCUUCUGUAAAUUUAGCAAUUGGUGAAGGGGGGCGAUUCUCCUCGUUGGCUGUUUUAUUAAGGGAGGACAAUUCUGCAGUGUUUUGACUACCAAUAGACAAUUUCUUCCCACUUAUCUGGAAUGCCAGUGAACGGAGAAGAGCAAAAAUGGCUAUGAAGA